GACUUUUAACGAUCACUUCUUAACGAAGGGACAUGAAUCCGGUCGUUAUAAAUAUAUUUAUAGCGACAAACUUUUUUUCCGGUCAUUAAAGCCAAUUUUUAGCUUAACAUUAACAAGGGGAUAAUAUUCCGUCUUUAAAACACAUAAUAACCGGUCGUUGAAACUAUAAUCAAUAAAAAAUAGGCGCUACUUUUUCCCUCUUUUUCCUUUUCCCCCAACCCAGCCCCCCUCUCUCUCAAAAAUAAAACAUUAUGCAUCGAUGAAAACACACGCACGGUUCCCGAAGAAUAAAAUAACUCCAACAUGGUCCACCAGCAACUGCUAUCAAAAGUAAGUUCUAGGAGAAGCAAAAUUGUUACAGUACGUUUAUGGGAGAAGAAAAAUUGUUCGUCACCUCUGUCGGCAUCAAUUGUUCAUCUUAGAGCUCCUUCUCAAGAACCCUAGAGGAAUAAAGCACAAAAACAGUGAUUCUGAUGGUGGAAGCUUAACUGUGAUUUGCUUUUUGUUGGGUGCUAUCAUAUAAAGUUUUUUGUCUUCAAUGAAGCGAGCGCUUUGCUUCUUGCAUCACACUUUAAGCGAAGCGGGUCCUUGUCUCUGUUUUCUGAUUCGCGCUUUCAAAAGCACUGAUCAUAUAAAGGUAAAAGGCUAGCAUGUUGUACGAAAGGUUCAACCUCGUGAUUAUUUUGACGUGCAAAAAAAGGAUGAUGAGUUUGAGGAGUUAAAUAAUAAGAAUAUGAUGCUUUAUUCUGAAUGUGUAUCUAUGAGUCUGAUUGUGCUUCUGACUAUUUGUACAGAUGGAAUUUACUUAGUGUUAGAUUGUUUCUCUGUAUAGUGUGUUUGUGUUCCUGUAUAUUCUCUGUAAUAGUCAUUGUAUAGUUCUUGAACUUGCUAAACUUCACCAAGUCUCUUUAAUAGUCAUUGUAUGGUUCUUGGGUUAGCUUAAACAUAUUCGACUUCUUUUUGUAUUAGGUUGACAUGAAUCCAUCAAAAUUUCAUAAGCCUGAAACCAUCAACUUCAAAGACUAUUAAGCAUGCAUACAUACCAGCUGGUGCCUUAGCAAGGGGACGAGGACAAAGCAUAAGAGCUUUGGGCUCCAUUAGAUUAAGAGCCUGUUUGGAUUGGCUUAUUUUAGGUGCUUUUAAGCCAAAAUAUAUAUUUGUAGUGUUUGGGUAAAAUAAAAAAGUGCUUUUAAGCACUUGUUUUUAAGCUAAAAUGACCAAAUUUAGCCAAAGCCAUAAGCUAGAAUUCCUAACUUAUGGAUUUGGCUUAUAAGUCAAAAGUCAUAAGUCCAUCAAACGGGCUCUAAGUGUUGAUAGAUAACUCCAAUUGGCAAAAGUAAAAUAAUAAAGCAGUAGCUUUUUGUCGAAUGAGCUAGUACAGAAUAAUAGCCUUGUGCCCCCUGGUUUUGAUCCAAUGGAAGAUGAUGUUCCCCUCGCUCAAGAAGCUGAAGUGAUGCAAGACACUCAGAGAAGUGAAAUAAGUAUUUUAUUUUCUUAAGUUGUAUUUUUUUUGUUAGUGGACGCGAGCGAUUUUUAUGUUUGACAUUAUAAACUGAAAUUUGCAGGUCCAUGUGAAUAUGAAAAGGCAAAAAAAAGUGAGGAAAGAAGAGGUGUAAAAAUGUUGCAGGACUCAAAGCUGGAGAGAAGUUGAGUUAUUUUUUACCAGCAUCGACUUGUUGGGAAGCAUCACCGCUCAUUUACGAGAUAAUUAGGUGUUAGUUCAUGAUUGUAAUAUGUGCCCAUUGCAGGUACACUCUUGGGCGGAUAUCGAGGAAGAGUAGUUGGAAUAUAUGUGGGAAGCUACAACUAUAAGUUAAGCAUUACUUUCUUGAUUUAUUUUUCAAGCUUGAUGCAUGUCAACUAACUUGUAUGUGUUCUUUUGCGUGCCAUAAUAUUUACGCUCGAUGUAUUUAUGAACACUCCAUUAUUUUGAACUCUUUUUGGUUUUAACUUAUUGGUUUUGCUGUUGGUUGUAAACAGUCCCUGCAAGACACAAAUCUCAGUUUCAUAAAAUCUACCACAACUCUAUUAGUCACACAUAGAACUAGAAUAGUUAUCAAGUCCUUGCUAUGAGUUUCAAGAAUCAAGAUCCUCUUCGUUUCCUAGAAAUAAUACCAUAGAUUUUGCAGGAUUAAUUUUUUGGUGUCAAUCCACUUAGCCUAUUUAAAUAAGGCUCUCUCAAAAGAAACCAUAUGGUUCAUUUCUUUAUAGUGUUGCCCUCCUAUUUCAAUAUUAUCUGCCAAACAAAAGUGACAAAAUGAUGUUGUGAUGUUUUUAAUUUUGAAUUGUACUGUGCAAAAUGAAAAUAAGCAAGUAAUCAGAGCUAACGGCUGAGUGGCUCUCAUUGUUAUUUAGAGAACUCACUUUAUCGCUUAAAUAGCAUGGAAGCUAGGGGAAGCGAGUGGGGCCGCCCCAGAAGGCUGAGGGUGACAAAGGGUAGCAUGAAGCGACUGCUUCUGUUCAAGAGGCAGAAGCGACUGAAACAUGCACUUCAUUUAUUUUCACAAAAAAAAAAAAAAAUCGACUUUAAAGAGAAAAAGAUGCAACUUUUUUAUCUAGUUAACUGCUCUUUGCCUUGGUCUGGGGUUUGCAAGUCACGACUGAUUUAUCUUCUUUGAUGCUCUCUGCCUCCUCUGUUAUCGCUGCUUCUUUCUCUUCUUCUUUUCUCUGAUCUGAUAUCACUGCUACUGCUGCAGCUUUAAUUUUUUUCGUUUCUCCUUUUCUGUUAGCUAUUGCUGCUACUGCAGAUACUUUUUUCUUUCUAUUCUUCUCUUAUACUGUUGUGUUCAUCUGCUUCUUCGGACUUCAGCUAUUGUUUUAUUUAUUUUUUUGUCAUUCUUUUUUCUCUUUAUUAAUUUAAUUGAUUUAUCUAAUGUGUUUUUUGUUUUUCUAUUUGCUCUCUAUUUUUCUAUUUGCUCUCUAUUUUUCCAGUAGGCAAUAGCUCUAUUGUAGACUUUAAUUUAGUUUCUCUUUGCUUCAUUUAUUUGCAACUAACCAAUAUAAUGCAUGCACUCAAACGCUCCUGCUGCAACAAACAUGGUCGUUAACGAAUUUUGAUCGUGAUAACUUGUUCAUCUCAAUGUUGAUGUAUGAAAAAUCACUCAUUGCUCUUAGAGCCCUACUUAGAGGUACUUCUGUAGUUCAAGCCAGAAAUUGAGGGUAAAAAACUAGUUAUGCCUUUUUUUUUUUUUUUUUUUUUUUUUUUUUUUGGUGUUCUUAUAUUUAAGGGAGAGAUGAUUGACUGACUUCUCCUCUUUACAAGAAUGAGAUUAAGAAUUUGAAGUCGAUCCUAUCCUUGAAGAAAGUGCAGAGCAAAAUUGAAGUACAAAAAGUUUUUAUUUUGUUAGUGGUGGUUUAAAGAUGAUGUCUUAUGCACACAUGCUACUUUUUUCUAUUUUAGGAGUAAUGAAAAAUGAUGUCAUGCAAUUUGGAUGUGUAUAUUUUUUGGUAAUGUGAUACUUUAGUUCUUUGUAUUGACGAAUAACAUUGAUGUUUUAAUGAAUAUUGAUUAUUUGGUUUA
This is an RNA transcript of Lycium ferocissimum, 3520 nucleotides long. RefSeq lists it as uncharacterized. The record is from RefSeq and is a predicted model, not a curated record. The transcript is spliced from 4 exons. Lineage: Eukaryota; Viridiplantae; Streptophyta; Magnoliopsida; Solanales; Solanaceae.